GAAUUCGCCCUUAGAGUUUGAUCCUGGCUCAGGAUGAACGCUGGCGGCGUGCUUAACACAUGCAAGUCGAACGAGAAAUGAAGACGGAAACCUUCGGGCGGAAGACUUUAUUUCGAGUGGCGGACGGGUGAGUAACGCGUGGGUAACCUGCCUCAUACAGGGGGAUAACAGUUGGAAACGACUGUUAAUACCGCAUAAGACCACAGCACCGCAUGGUGCGGGGGUAAAAACUCCAGUGGUAUGAGAUGGACCCGCGUUCGAUUAGCCAGUUGGCGGGGUAACGGCCCACCAAAGCGACGAUCGAUAGCCGAUCUGAGAGGAUGACCGGCCACAUUGGGACUGAGACACGGCCCAAACUCCUACGGGAGGCAGCAGUGGGGAAUAUUGCACAAUGGGGGAAACCCUGAUGCAGCGACGCCGCGUGAGUGAAGAAGUAUUUCGGUAUGUAAAGCUCUAUCAGCAGGGAAGAAAAUGACGGUACCUGAGUAAGAAGCCCCGGCUAACUACGUGCCAGCAGCCGCGGUAAUACGUAGGGGGCAAGCGUUAUCCGGAUUUACUGGGUGUAAAGGGAGCGCAGACGGCUCUGCAAGUCUGAAGUGAAAGCCCGCGGCUUAACCGCGGGACUGCUUGGAAACUGCAAGGCUUGAGUAUCGGAGGGGCAGGCGGAAUUCCUAGUGUAGCGGUGAAAUGCGUAGAUAUUAGGAAGAACACCGGUGGCGAAGGCGGCCUGCUGGACGAAAACUGACGUUGAGGCUCGAAGGCGUGGGGAGCAAACAGGAUUAGAUACCCUGGUAGUCCACGCGGUAAA
This 808-nucleotide ribosomal RNA is filed under the name uncultured bacterium. Its description in RNAcentral is "bacterial SSU rRNA". It matches the Rfam family "Bacterial small subunit ribosomal RNA", at positions 1 to 806 of the family's 1533-position model. The record is from RNAcentral.